Molecule: small nucleolar RNA, 104 nt
Organism: Macaca fascicularis (crab-eating macaque)
Lineage: Eukaryota; Metazoa; Chordata; Mammalia; Primates; Cercopithecidae
Source: Ensembl
AUCCUUUUGUAGUUCAUGAGCAUGAUGAUUGGGUGUUCACACAAAUAUGUGAAAUGUGCUGGCCUCAGACCUUCUUAGGACAUCAGCACAUGACUCUGCUGGGA